RNAcentral lists this transfer RNA (73 nucleotides) under bacterium ADurb.Bin236. Its description in RNAcentral is "tRNA-Arg". It matches the Rfam family "tRNA". From Rfam's summary of the family: Transfer RNA (tRNA) molecules are approximately 80 nucleotides in length. Their secondary structure includes four short double-helical elements and three loops (D, anti-codon, and T loops). RNAcentral also lists the same sequence under 1 other name. The record is from RNAcentral.
GCCCCCAUAGCUCAGGCGGAUAGAGCGCCGGAUUCCUAAUCCGGGUGCAGAGGUUCGAGUCCUCUUGGGGGCA